GAGUUUGAAUCCUGGCUCAGAGUGAACGCNUGGCGGCGUGCUUAACACAUGCAAGUCGAACGGUAACAGGAAGAAGCUUGCUUCUUUGCUGACGAGUGGCGCACGGGUGAGUAAUGUAUAGCUAACAUGCCCUAUAGAGGGGGAUAGCCACUGGAAACGGUGAUUAAUACCCUAUACUCCUUCUUUAUUAAUUAAAGUUGGGAAAGUUUUUCGCUAUAGGAUUGGGCUAUAUUGUAUCAGUUAGUUGGUGGGGUAAUGGCCUACCAAGACAAUGACGCAUAGCGGGUCUGAGAGGAUGAUCCGCCACACUGGAACUGAGACACGGUCCAGACUCCUACGGGAGGCAGCAGUGGGGAAUAUUGCACAAUGGAGGAAACUCUGAUGCAGCAACGCCGCGUGGAGGAUGACGCAUUUCGGUGUGUAAACUCCUUUUAUAUGGGAAGAUAAUGACGGUACCAUAUGAAUAAGCACCGGCUAACUCCGUGCCAGCAGCCGCGGUAAUACGGAGGGUGCAAGCGUUACUCGGAAUCACCGGGCGUAAAGCGCGCGCAGGCGGCUUAAUAAGUUAGAAGUGAAAUCCUACAGCUCAACUGUAGAACUGCUUCUAAAACUGUUAAGCUAGAGUCUGGGAGGGGAAGAUGGAAUUAGUUGUGUAGGGGUAAAAUCCGUAGAGAUAACUAGGAAUACCAAAAGCGAAGGCGAUCUUCUGGAACAGUACUGACGCUGAGGCGCGAAAGCGUGGGGAGCAAACAGGAUUAGAUACCCUGGUAGUCCACGCCCUAAACGAUGAAUGUUAGUCGUUUGGUCUCUAGUAGAAUCAGUGAUGCAGUUAACACAUUAAACAUUCCGCCUGGGGAAGACGGUCGCAAGAUUAAGACUCAAAGGAAUAGACGGGGACCCGCACAAGUGGUGGAGCAUGUGGGUUUAAUUCGAANAUACGCGAAAAACCUUACCUGGCCUUGACAUUGAUGAACCUGNNANANAUAGCGGGGNGCCCUUNUGGGAGCCGGNANACAGGNGCUGCACGGUUGCCGCCAGCUCGUGUCGNGAGAAGUNGGGUUAAGUCCCGCAACGAGGGCAACCCUUGUGAUUAGUUACUAACGAUUCGGUCGAGGACUCUAGUCAGACUGCCUUCGUAAGGAGGAGGAAGGUGAGGACGACGUCAAGUCAUCAUGGCCCUUACGGCCGGGGCAACACACGUGCUACAAUGGGGUGUACAAUGAGAAGCGAUACCGCGAGGUGGAGCAAAUCUAUAAAACAUCUCUCAGUUCGGAUUGUAGUCUGCAACUCGACUACAUGAAGCUGGAAUCACUAGUAAUCGCAGAUCAGCUAUGCUACGGUGAAUACGUUCCCGGGUCUUGUACUCACCGCCCGUCACACCAUGGGAGUUGAUUUCACCCGAAGCGGGGAAGCUAAACAGGCUACCCUCCACGGUGGGAUCAGCGACUGGGGUGAAGUCGUAACAAGGUAGC
RNAcentral lists this ribosomal RNA (1472 nucleotides) under uncultured bacterium. Its description in RNAcentral is "bacterial SSU rRNA". It matches the Rfam family "Bacterial small subunit ribosomal RNA". The record is from RNAcentral.